UACGUAGGGGGCGAGCGUUAAUCGGAAUUACUGGGCGUAAAGCGUGCGCAGGCGGUUAUGUAAGACAGAGGUGAAAUCCCCGGGCUCAACCUGGGAACUGCCUUUGUGACUGCAUGACUAGAGUACGGCAGAGGGGGAUGGAAUUCCGCGUGUAGCAGUGAAAUGCGUAGAUAUGCGGAGGAACACCGAUGGCGAAGGCAGUCCCCUGGGCCUGUACUGACGAUCAUGCACGAAAGAGUGGGGAGCAAACAGG
Molecule: ribosomal RNA, 253 nt
Filed under: uncultured bacterium
Lineage: Bacteria
Description: partial 16S ribosomal RNA
Rfam family: Bacterial small subunit ribosomal RNA
Source: RNAcentral